Molecule: ribosomal RNA, 662 nt
Filed under: uncultured bacterium
Lineage: Bacteria
Description: bacterial SSU rRNA
Rfam family: Bacterial small subunit ribosomal RNA
Source: RNAcentral
UAGCAGUAAUGCAGUUAACACAGUAAGUGUGCCGCCUGGGGAGUACGGUCGCAAGAUUAAAACUCAAAGGAAUAGACGGGGACCCGCACAAGCGGUGGAGCAUGUGGUUUAAUUCGACGAUACGCGAAGAACCUUACCUGGCCUUGACAUAGGAAGAACUUACUAGAGAUAGUUUGGUGCUAGUUUACUAGAACUUCCAUACAGGUGCUGCACGGCUGUCGUCAGCUCGUGUCGUGAGAUGUUGGGUUAAGUCCCGCAACGAGCGCAACCCUCGUGUUUAGUUACUAACAGUUCGGCUGAGGACUCUAGACAGACUGCCUGGGUAACCAGGAGGAAGGUGAGGACGACGUCAAGUCAUCAUGGCCCUUACGGCCAGGGCUACACACGUGCUACAAUGGGGUAUACAAAGAGCCGCGAUACCGUGAGGUGGAGCAAAUCUCAUAAAAUAUCUCCCAGUUCGGAUAGUAGUCUGCAACUCGACUACUUGAAGUUGGAAUCGCUAGUAAUCGUAGAUCAGCAAUGCUACGGUGAAUACGUUCCCGGGUCUUGUACUCACCGCCCGUCACACCAUGGGAGUUGAUUUCAUUCGAAGCGGGGAUGCUAAAAUAGCUACCUUCCACAGUGGAAUUAGCGACUAGGGUGAAGUCGUAACAAGGUAGCCG